AGGGUUUGAUCCUGGCUCAGAACGUACGCUGGCGGCACGCCUAACACAUGCAAGUCGAACGAAGUAGCAAUACUUAGUGGCAGACGGGUGAGUAACAUGUAGGUAUCUACCCUUUGGCCUGGAAUAACACGAGGAAACUUGUGCUAAUACCGGAUAAGUCUUUACAGAGAAAGCUUUAUGCACCAUUGGAUGAGCCUGCACUUGAUUAGUUUGUUGGUGGGGUAAUGGCCUACCAAGACUGUGAUCAAUAGCUGAUUUGAGAGGAUGAUCAGCCACAUUGGGACUGAGACACGGCCCAAACUCCUACGGGAGGCAGCAGUGGGGAAUCUUGCACAAUGGAGGAAACUCUGAUGCAGCGAUGCCGCGUGAGUGAAGAAGGCCUUUGGGUUGUAAAGCUCUUUCGUCGGGGAAGAAAAUGACUGUACCCGAAUAAGAAGGUCCGGCUAACUUCGUGCCAGCAGCCGCGGUAAUACGAAGGGACCUAGCGUAGUUCGGAAUUACUGGGCUUAAAGAGUUCGUAGGUGGUUGAAAAAGUUAGUGGUGAAAUCCCAGAGCUUAACUCUGGAACUGCCAUUAAAACUUUUCAGCUAGAGUAUGAUAGAGGAAAGCAGAAUUUCUAGUGUAGAGGUGAAAUUCGUAGAUAUUAGAAAGAAUACCAAUUGCGAAGGCAGCUUUCUGGAUCAUUACUGACACUGAGGAACGAAAGCAUGGGUAGCGAAGAGGAUUAGAUACCCUCGUAGUCCAUGCCGUAAACGAUGUGUGUUAGACGUUGGAGAUUUAUUUUCAGUGUCGCAGGGAAACCGAUAAACACACCGCCUGGGGAGUACGACCGCAAGGUUAAAACUCAAAUGAAUUGACGGGGACCCGCACAAGUAGUGGAGCAUGUGGUUUAAUUCGAAGAUACGCGCAGAACCUUACCAACACUUGACAUGUUCGUCGCGACUCUAAGAGAUUAGAGUUUUCGGUUCGGCCGGACGAAACACAGGUGCUGCAUGGCUGUCGUCAGCUCGUGUCGUGAGAUGUUGGGUUAAGUCCCGCAACGAGCGCAACCCUCACUUUUAGUUGCCAUCAUUAAGUUGGGCACUCUGAAAGAACUGCCAGUGAUAAGCUGGAGGAAGGUGGGGAUGACGUCAAGUCCUCAUGGCCCUUACGUGUUGGGCUACACACGUGCUACAAUGGUAUCUACAACAGGAAGCAAGACUGCGAAGUUAAGCAAAUCCCUAAAAGAUACCUCAGUUCGGAUUGCACUCUGCAACUCGAGUGCAUGAAGCUGGAAUUACUAGUAAUCGUGGAUCAGCGUGCCACGGUGAAUGCGUUCCCGGGUCUUGUACACACCGCCCGUCACACCAUGGGAGUUGGUUCUACCUUAAGGCAAGGUUUCAAACCCUUGACCACGGUAUAGUCAGCGACUGGGGUGAAGUCGUAACAAGGUAGCCG
This 1437-nucleotide ribosomal RNA is filed under the name uncultured bacterium. RNAcentral describes it as "bacterial SSU rRNA". It matches the Rfam family "Bacterial small subunit ribosomal RNA". The record is from RNAcentral.